Molecule: long non-coding RNA, 1044 nt
Organism: Magnolia sinica
Lineage: Eukaryota; Viridiplantae; Streptophyta; Magnoliopsida; Magnoliales; Magnoliaceae
Exons: 3
Source: RefSeq, a predicted model, not a curated record
AACAAAAGGAGGAUUAGCCGACGAUGUAUUUGCUAAUCAACGGCGUUAAUUAAAACGGAGCGUCGGUUUGCAAUCGGUAUAAAUACCAUACGAAAAGCCCUAGACUCUUUUGCUUCUUUUGCUCUCCUCUCCCGACUCUCUCUCUCUCUCCCUCUCUCUCUCUCUCUCUCUCUCUCCCUUUAGAUGCAGCGAUAGCCAUCGCCAUCUCCACCUAUUUCCCCUUUCUCAAUCGACCCUCUCUCUCUAUUUCCCCCUUUCCCUCUCUCAAUCGACCAUCUCUUUGUUUCCCCUUUCUUAAUCCACCUCUUCUCCUCUAGGGUUAGUCUCUCUCUCUCUCUCUCUCUCUCUCUCUCUCUACAGAUUGGAUCUGGUUUUUCUCUCAAGCUACAACAGAUUUCGAUGCAAACAUGGGGUUUUCUCUCAAGUAAUUAGCAGAUUAUCUACGACCACAUCUAAUCAUAAGGUAAUUUCAGUUAUUUCAUCCGUGCUAACCCUUCUUCUUCUGCUAACAGAGUCUCUAGUUCCUAUUCUGUGAAUCUGAAGCCUGCUGGCCUUUACUGAUUUGUAGUCUGGAUGUAACUUUUCAUCAUAUACUUUCCAGGUUUGCAAUUGACACAAUGCAGUCAAUUUUCCUUGAUGAAUUUGGGGGAGAAAAUGCCCUGGAUCAUAGCACUCAACAGACGACUCUUAUUCAACACAUAUUUGGUGGUCAUCUUCAAUCUUAGAUAUUGAUCAAGUUGGAGGAUAAUAGAUUGGUUGAAACUGUUGGGAUACUAGUUGAAGAUAAUAAAGGUUUUUAUCGCCUCACUGAUGGUAUAUCUUCACAGGAGUUUGUAGAUGAUGUUGAUGCAUACUUGGGAAGCUCGCCAUGCAAUGAUCAAAGUUCGGAAGAUCCGAGUGAUGACAUUGAUAGUUGGAAAAUGACAGAUAUCGAUGGUACAACAAUUAUUACACCUUUACCACCCACCCAGACAAUGGUAGAUGACCAAGCAGAUGAUACUGAGUUUUCUGAUUGUGAUAGAAAUGACAUUAUAUACAAUAAUU